ACUCCUACGGGAGGCAGCAGUGGGGAAUAUUGCACAAUGGGCGCAAGCCUGAUGCAGCCAUGCCGCGUGUGUGAAGAAGGCCUUCGGGUUGUAAAGUACUUUCAGCAGUGAGGAAGGCGGAGUCGUUAAUAGCGGCCUCGUUUGACGUUAGCUGCAGAAGAAAGCACCGGCUAACUCCGUGCCAGCAGCCGCGGUAAUACGGAGGGUGCGAGCGUUAAUCGGAAUUACUGGGCGUAAAGCGCAUGCAGGUGGUUUGUUAAGUCAGAUGUGAAAGCCCGGGGCUCAACCUCGGAAUUGCAUUUGAAACUGGCAGACUAGAGUACUGUAGAGGGGGGUAGAAUUUCAGGUGUAGCGGUGAAAUGCGUAGAGAUCUGAAGGAAUACCGGUGGCGAAGGCGGCCCCCUGGACAGAUACUGACACUCAGAUGCGAAAGCGUGGGGAGCAAACAGGAUUAGAUACCCUGGUAGGAUAGCG
RNAcentral lists this ribosomal RNA (474 nucleotides) under uncultured bacterium. RNAcentral describes it as "bacterial SSU rRNA". It matches the Rfam family "Bacterial small subunit ribosomal RNA", at positions 335 to 799 of the family's 1533-position model. The record is from RNAcentral.